UUCCACUGACAUUUAGCCAAAAAAAAAAAAAAUGCUGCCACUUUAAUUGUGCUGACAACUCGAGAUCUCCCGAGUUCCAUCGAGAUCCCAUUCCCCACGACAUCAAACUACCGCGAGAUGCAGCCCUGCCUCGAUCUGCAUGCAGUGUGGAUCCCGCGAGAUUUCAUUCAGCAAUUCCCAUCCCCCACGCAGCACGCGCUGCAUCGCGCCGACGCCAUUACUACUCUCUGACUGCUUUGCUGUAAUUUUCGAGAGAAGACGUUUGCCGUCAGUGUAACCAAGAAAGUAAUCGGACGGUCUUGGAUGUUGAUGCAGUGGAGCAGAAAUUGGCAGACCCCACCUUCCAGAAACAAGUGCUUUCUGUGGUGGUAGAAAUUGGAGGCAGUACUGUGGAUGAAGCCACGAGAAGAAUGAGGGCCUUCCUUUUGGACCACCCCUUAUCAAGAGAGUUCAAUUUUGUUAGCCGGCAUGGAAAGUGAGAGUUUCGGGGGCUCAAACUGCUUGAGGUUGUAUAAGGAAGCCUGAAAAAAUUCUCUUAACCAAAUUACCAGAAAAGAGGCAGAAAAGUCAGCGUCAAAGUGGCUCAUCGGUGACGGGAGGAAACCGUUCUGCGAAGUCUCGUAGUAGAGAGCAAGAUAGGGCCGUUGGGAGAGCGAGGACAGAGGUGAGAGGAGCUGCAUGGUUGGUUUGUUUGUUUGUGAAAUAAUGUAUUUUAGAGUUUUCAGAUAUGUGUAUACAAACGAUACAAGUUAUUCCAAAUAAUGUUUGGCAGGAGCUUCACUUUAACUUUUUUUAAGAUGCUUAUGUUUUCAUAAAGUUGUAAAUACACAAGUUAUAAUGGUCAUGUUCAAAUUAUUCCAACGAAACCUUGUUUAAAGCAUGCAGAAUACAAGUUAUGAUGAUUUUUAUUUUUUACAAGAAAUAAAGUUUUUCAGGAGCUUAAAAUUAACUCUUUUUUUAUACUUGUUUUAUAAAGUUGUAAAUGUACAAGUUAUAAUAGUAAUGUUUAAAUUAUUCCAAAUAAACUUUGCUUAAAAUCAUGAA
This is a long non-coding RNA of Onychostoma macrolepis, 1044 nucleotides long. RefSeq lists it as uncharacterized. The transcript has 5 exons. The record is from RefSeq and is a predicted model, not a curated record. Lineage: Eukaryota; Metazoa; Chordata; Actinopteri; Cypriniformes; Cyprinidae.